Unclassified non-coding RNA from Callithrix jacchus (white-tufted-ear marmoset), 299 nucleotides. It matches the Rfam family "Metazoan signal recognition particle RNA". Rfam says of the family: The signal recognition particle (SRP) is a universally conserved ribonucleoprotein. It is involved in the co-translational targeting of proteins to membranes. Lineage: Eukaryota; Metazoa; Chordata; Mammalia; Primates; Cebidae. The record is from Ensembl.
GCCAGGCGCUGUGGCACGUGCCUGUAGUCCCAGCUACUCAGGAGGCUGAGGCUGGAGGAUCGCUUGAGUCCAGGAGUUCUGGGCUAUAGUGCGCUAUGCUGAUUGGUGUCCACACUAAGUCUGGCAUCAGUGUGGUGACCAACCAGAAGCAGGGCACCACCAGGUUGCCUAAGGAGGGGUGAACCGGCCCAGGUCAGAAACGGAGCAGGUCAAAACUCCUGUGCUGAUCAGUAGUGGGAUCGUGCCUGUGAAUAACCACUGCACUCCAUCCUGGGCAACAUAGCGAGACCCUGUCUCUU